Molecule: ribosomal RNA, 496 nt
Filed under: uncultured bacterium
Lineage: Bacteria
Description: partial 16S ribosomal RNA
Rfam family: Bacterial small subunit ribosomal RNA
Source: RNAcentral
AUGAACGCUGGCGGCGUGCCUAAUACAUGCCAGUCGAGCGAACAGACGAGGAGCUUGCUCCUCUGCCGUUAGCGGCGGCCGGGUGAUUACCACGUGGUUACCCUCCCUAUACGACUGGGAUAACUUCGGGAAACCGGAGCUAAUACCGGAUAAUAUAUUUAACCGCAUGGUUCAAUAGUGAAAGAUGGUUUUGCUGUCACUUAUACAUGGCUCAGCGCCGCAUUAGAUAGUUGGUACGGUAACGGCUUAUUAACGCGACGAUGCGUAGCCGACCUGAGCGGGUGAUCGGCCACAUUGGAGCUGAGACACGGUCCAGACGCCUACGGUAGGCAGCAGUAGGGAAUCUUCCGCAAUGGGCGAAAGCCUGACGAAGCAGCGCCGCGUGAGUGAUGAAGGUCUUCGGAUCGUAAAACUCUGUUAUGAGUGAAGAACAAAUGUGUAAGUAACUAUGCACGUCUUGACGGUACCGAAUCAGAAAGCCACGGCUAACUACGUG